This 256-nucleotide ribosomal RNA is filed under the name uncultured bacterium. RNAcentral's name for it is "partial 16S ribosomal RNA". It matches the Rfam family "Bacterial small subunit ribosomal RNA", at positions 524 to 776 of the family's 1533-position model. The record is from RNAcentral.
UACGUAGGGUGCAAGCGUUAAUCGGAAUUACUGGGCGUAAAGCGUGCGCAGGCGGUUUUGUAAGUCUGACGUGAAAGCCCCGGGCUUAACCUGGGAAUUGCGUUGGAGACUGCAAGGCUUGAAUCUGGCAGAGGGGGGUAGAAUUCCACGUGUAGCAGGUGAAAAUGCGUAGAGAUGUGGAGGAACACCGAUGGCGAAGGCAGCCCCCUGGGUCAAGAUUGACGCUCGAUGCACGAAAGCGUGGGGAGCAAACAGG